AUGAACGCUGGCGGCGUGCCUAACACAUGCAAGUCGAACGGAGUCCAGCCUUUAAGACCUUCGGGUCAAAGAGGGGAAGACUGAGUGGCGGACGGGUGAGUAACACGUGGGCAACCUGGCUCAUAGAGGGGGAUAACAGAGAGAAAUUUCUGCUAAUACCGCAUAAGCACACACUGCCGCAUGGCAGAGGGUGAAAAGAGAAUCGCUAUGAGAUGGACCCGCGUCUGAUUAGCCAGUUGGCAGGGUAAGAGCCUACCAAAGCGACGAUCAGUAGCCGAUCUGAGAGGAUGAACGGCCACAUUGGGACUGAGACACGGCCCAAACUCCUACGGGAGGCAGCAGUGGGGGAUAUUGCACAAUGGGGGGAACCCUGAUGCAGCGACGCCGCGUGAGUGAAGAAGUAUUUCGGUAUGUAAAGCUCUAUCAGCAGGGAAGAUAAUGACAGUACCUGAAUAGGAAGCCCCGGCUAACUACGUG
Molecule: ribosomal RNA, 477 nt
Filed under: uncultured bacterium
Lineage: Bacteria
Description: partial 16S ribosomal RNA
Rfam family: Bacterial small subunit ribosomal RNA
Source: RNAcentral